This 532-nucleotide ribosomal RNA is filed under the name Kryptoperidinium foliaceum. RNAcentral's name for it is "partial Bacterial small subunit ribosomal RNA". It matches the Rfam family "Bacterial small subunit ribosomal RNA", at positions 1 to 529 of the family's 1533-position model. Lineage: Eukaryota; Dinophyceae; Peridiniales; Kryptoperidiniaceae. The record is from RNAcentral.
AUGAAGAGUUUGAUCCUGGCUCAGGAUGAACGCUAGCGGCAGGCCUAACACAUGCAAGUCGAGGGGCAGCAUAGAUUGCUUGCAAUCUGAUGGCGACCGGCGCACGGGUGCGUAACGCGUAUGAAACCUACCUAAUACAGGGGGAUAGCCCAGAGAAAUUUGGAUUAAUACCCCAUGGUACUGUGGUCUCGCAUGAGAUUAUAGUUAAAGAUUUAUCGGUAUUAGAUGGUCAUGCGUCCUAUUAGUUAGUUGGUAAGGUAACGGCUUACCAAGACUUCGAUAGGUAGGGGCCCUGAGAGGGGGAUCCCCCACACUGGUACUGAGACACGGACCAGACUCCUACGGGAGGCAGCAGUGAGGAAUAUUGGACAAUGGAGGCAACUCUGAUCCAGCCAUGCCGCGUGAAGGAAGACUGCCCUAUGGGUUGUAAACUUCUUUUAUAGAGGAAGAAACGUGAAUACGUGUAUUCAUUUGACGGUACUCUACGAAUAAGGAUCGGCUAACUCCGUGCCAGCAGCCGCGGUAAUGCGGA